Molecule: ribosomal RNA, 2934 nt
Filed under: Bacillus velezensis
Lineage: Bacteria; Bacillati; Bacillota; Bacilli; Caryophanales; Bacillaceae
Also listed under: 1 other name
Description: 23S ribosomal RNA
Rfam family: Bacterial large subunit ribosomal RNA
Source: RNAcentral
CGGUUAAGUUAGAAAGGGCGCACGGUGGAUGCCUUGGCACUAGGAGCCGAUGAAGGACGGGACGAACACCGAUAUGCUUCGGGGAGCUGUAAGCAAGCUUUGAUCCGGAGAUUUCCGAAUGGGGAAACCCACCACUCGUAAUGGAGUGGUAUCCAUAUCUGAAUAUAUAGGAUAUGAGAAGGCAGACCCGGGGAACUGAAACAUCUAAGUACCCGGAGGAAGAGAAAGCAAAUGCGAUUCCCUGAGUAGCGGCGAGCGAAACGGGAUCAGCCCAAACCAAGAGGCUUGCCUCUUGGGGUUGUAGGACACUCUGUACGGAGUUACAAAGGAACGAGGUAGAUGAAGAGGUCUGGAAAGGCCCGCCAUAGGAGGUAACAGCCCUGUAGUCAAAACUUCGUUCUCUCCUGAGUGGAUCCUGAGUACGGCGGAACACGUGAAAUUCCGUCGGAAUCCGGGAGGACCAUCUCCCAAGGCUAAAUACUCCCUAGUGACCGAUAGUGAACCAGUACCGUGAGGGAAAGGUGAAAAGCACCCCGGAAGGGGAGUGAAAGAGAUCCUGAAACCGUGUGCCUACAAGUAGUCAGAGCCCGUUAACGGGUGAUGGCGUGCCUUUUGUAGAAUGAACCGGCGAGUUACGAUCCCGUGCAAGGUUAAGCAGAAGAUGCGGAGCCGCAGCGAAAGCGAGUCUGAAUAGGGCGAAUUGAGUACGUGGUCGUAGACCCGAAACCAGGUGAUCUACCCAUGUCCAGGGUGAAGUUCAGGUAACACUGAAUGGAGGCCCGAACCCACGCACGUUGAAAAGUGCGGGGAUGAGGUGUGGGUAGGGGUGAAAUGCCAAUCGAACCUGGAGAUAGCUGGUUCUCUCCGAAAUAGCUUUAGGGCUAGCCUCAAGGUAAGAGUCUCGGAGGUAGAGCACUGAUUGGACUAGGGGCCCCUACCGGGUUACCGAAUUCAGUCAAACUCCGAAUGCCGAUGACUUAUCCUUGGGAGUCAGACUGCGAGUGAUAAGAUCCGUAGUCGAAAGGGAAACAGCCCAGACCGCCAGCUAAGGUCCCAAAGUAUACGUUAAGUGGAAAAGGAUGUGGAGUUGCUUAGACAACCAGGAUGUUGGCUUAGAAGCAGCCACCAUUUAAAGAGUGCGUAAUAGCUCACUGGUCGAGUGACUCUGCGCCGAAAAUGUACCGGGGCUAAACGUAUCACCGAAGCUGCGGACUGUUCUUCGAACAGUGGUAGGAGAGCGUUCUAAGGGCUGUGAAGCAAGACCGGAAGGACUUGUGGAGCGCUUAGAAGUGAGAAUGCCGGUAUGAGUAGCGAAAGAGGGGUGAGAAUCCCCUCCACCGAAUGCCUAAGGUUUCCUGAGGAAGGCUCGUCCGCUCAGGGUUAGUCGGGACCUAAGCCGAGGCCGAAAGGCGUAGGCGAUGGACAACAGGUUGAUAUUCCUGUACCACCUCCUCACCAUUUGAGCAAUGGGGGGACGCAGGAGGAUAGGGUAAGCGCGGUAUUGGAUAUCCGCGUCCAAGCAGUUAGGCUGGGAAAUAGGCAAAUCCGUUUCCCGUGAAGGCUGAGCUGUGAUGGCGAGCGAAUUAUAGUAGCGAAGUUCCUGAUUCCACACUGCCAAGAAAAGCCUCUAGCGAGGUGAGAGGUGCCCGUACCGCAAACCGACACAGGUAGGCGAGGAGAGAAUCCUAAGGUGAUCGAGAGAACUCUCGUUAAGGAACUCGGCAAAAUGACCCCGUAACUUCGGGAGAAGGGGUGCUCUGUUAGGGUGCAAGCCCGAGAGAGCCGCAGUGAAUAGGCCCAGGCGACUGUUUAGCAAAAACACAGGUCUCUGCGAAGCCGUAAGGCGAAGUAUAGGGGCUGACGCCUGCCCGGUGCUGGAAGGUUAAGAGGAGCGCUUAGCGUAAGCGAAGGUGCGAAUUGAAGCCCCAGUAAACGGCGGCCGUAACUAUAACGGUCCUAAGGUAGCGAAAUUCCUUGUCGGGUAAGUUCCGACCCGCACGAAAGGCGCAACGAUCUGGGCACUGUCUCAACGAGAGACUCGGUGAAAUUAUAGUACCUGUGAAGAUGCAGGUUACCCGCGACAGGACGGAAAGACCCCGUGGAGCUUUACUGCAGCCUGAUAUUGAAUGUUGGUACAGCUUGUACAGGAUAGGUAGGAGCCUUGGAAACCGGAGCGCCAGCUUCGGUGGAGGCAUCGGUGGGAUACUACCCUGGCUGUAUUGACCUUCUAACCCGCCGCCCUUAUCGGGCGGGGAGACAGUGUCAGGUGGGCAGUUUGACUGGGGCGGUCGCCUCCUAAAAGGUAACGGAGGCGCCCAAAGGUUCCCUCAGAAUGGUUGGAAAUCAUUCGCAGAGUGUAAAGGCACAAGGGAGCUUGACUGCGAGACCUACAAGUCGAGCAGGGACGAAAGUCGGGCUUAGUGAUCCGGUGGUUCCGCAUGGAAGGGCCAUCGCUCAACGGAUAAAAGCUACCCCGGGGAUAACAGGCUUAUCUCCCCCAAGAGUCCACAUCGACGGGGAGGUUUGGCACCUCGAUGUCGGCUCAUCGCAUCCUGGGGCUGUAGUCGGUCCCAAGGGUUGGGCUGUUCGCCCAUUAAAGCGGUACGCGAGCUGGGUUCAGAACGUCGUGAGACAGUUCGGUCCCUAUCCGUCGCGGGCGCAGGAAAUUUGAGAGGAGCUGUCCUUAGUACGAGAGGACCGGGAUGGACGCACCGCUGGUGUACCAGUUGUUCUGCCAAGGGCAUCGCUGGGUAGCUAUGUGCGGACGGGAUAAGUGCUGAAAGCAUCUAAGCAUGAAGCCCCCCUCAAGAUGAGAUUUCCCAUUCCGCAAGGAAGUAAGAUCCCUGAAAGAUGAUCAGGUUGAUAGGUCUGAGGUGGAAGUGUGGCGACACAUGGAGCUGACAGAUACUAAUCGAUCGAGGACUUAACCAAUUU